UUAAAUUGAGAGUUUGAUCCUGGCUCAGGACGAACGCUGGCGGCGUGCCUAACACAUGCAAGUCGAGCGAUGAAACUUCCUUCGGGAAGUGGAUUAGCGGCAGACGGGUGAGUAACACGUGGGUAACCUGCCUCAAAGAGUGGGAUAGCCUCCCGAAAGGGAGAUUAAUACCGCAUAACAUUAUUUUAUGGCAUCAUAAAAUAAUCAAAGGAGCAAUCCGCUUUGAGAUGGACCCGCGGCGCAUUAGCUAGUUGGUGAGGUAACGGCUCACCAAGGCAACGAUGCGUAGCCGACCUGAGAGGGUGAUCGGCCACAUUGGAACUGAGACACGGUCCAGACUCCUACGGGAGGCAGCAGUGGGGAAUAUUGCGCAAUGGGGGAAACCCUGACGCAGCAACGCCGCGUGAGUGAUGAAGGUUUUCGGAUCGUAAAACUCUGUCUUUAGGGACGAUAAUGACGGUACCUAAGGAGGAAGCCACGGCUAAC
RNAcentral lists this ribosomal RNA (486 nucleotides) under Clostridium botulinum D/C. Its description in RNAcentral is "bacterial SSU rRNA". It matches the Rfam family "Bacterial small subunit ribosomal RNA", at positions 1 to 501 of the family's 1533-position model. Lineage: Bacteria; Bacillati; Bacillota; Clostridia; Eubacteriales; Clostridiaceae. The record is from RNAcentral.